AGUGAACGCUGGCGGUAGGCCUAACACAUGCAAGUCGAACGGCAGCACAGUAAGAGCUUGCUCUUACGGGUGGCGAGUGGCGGACGGGUGAGGAAUACAUCGGAAUCUACUUUUUCGUGGGGGAUAACGUAGGGAAACUUACGCUAGUACCGCAUACGACCUACGGGUGAAAGCAGGGGAUCUUCGGACCUUGCGCGAUUGAAUGAGCCGAUGUCGGAUUAGCUAGUUGGCGGGGUAAAGGCCCACCAAGGCGACGAUCCGUAGCUGGUCUGAGAGGAUGAUCAGCCACACUGGAACUGAGACACGGUCCAGACUCCUACGGGAGGCAGCAGUGGGGAAUAUUGGACAAUGGGCGCAAGCCUGAUCCAGCCAUACCGCGUGGGUGAAGAAGGCCUUCGGGUUGUAAAGCCCUUUUGCUGGGAAAGAAAAGCAGCAGGUUAAUACCCCGCUGUUCUGACGGUACCCAAAGAAUAAGCACCGGCUAACUUCGUG
RNAcentral lists this ribosomal RNA (492 nucleotides) under uncultured bacterium. Its description in RNAcentral is "partial 16S ribosomal RNA". It matches the Rfam family "Bacterial small subunit ribosomal RNA", at positions 29 to 507 of the family's 1533-position model. The record is from RNAcentral.